Molecule: transfer RNA, 87 nt
Filed under: Sclerotinia sclerotiorum 1980 UF-70
Lineage: Eukaryota; Fungi; Ascomycota; Leotiomycetes; Helotiales; Sclerotiniaceae
Description: tRNA-Thr for anticodon CGU
Rfam family: tRNA
About the family: Transfer RNA (tRNA) molecules are approximately 80 nucleotides in length. Their secondary structure includes four short double-helical elements and three loops (D, anti-codon, and T loops).
Source: Rfam by way of RNAcentral
GCCCACUUGGCGCAGUGGUACCGCGUAGCACUCGUAUCGUCGAAUUCGGAAAUGCUAAGAUCACUGGUUCGAUUCCAGUAGUGGGCA